UUCGGGAACUGUGAGACAGGUGCUGCAUGGCUGUCGUCAGCUCGUGUUGUGAAAUGUUGGGUUAAGUCCCGCAACGAGCGCAACCCUUAUCCUUUGUUGCCAGCGGUCCGGCCGGGAACUCAAAGGAGACUGCCAGUGAUAAACUGGAGGAAGGUGGGGAUGACGUCAAGUCAUCAUGGCCCUUACGACCAGGGCUACACACGUGCUACAAUGGCGCAUACAAAGAGAAGCGACCUCGCGAGAGCAAGCGGACCUCAUAAAGUGCGUCGUAGUCCGGAUUGGAGUCUGCAACUCGACUCCAUGAAGUCGGAAUCGCUAGUAAUCGUGGAUCAGAAUGCCACGGUGAAUACGUUCCCGGGCCUUGUACACACCGCCCGUCACACCAUGGGAGUGGGUUGCAAAAGAAGUAGGUAGCUUAACCUUCGGGAGGGCGCUUACCACUUUGUGAUUCAUGACUGGGGUGAAGUCGUAACAAGGUAACCGUAGGGGAACCUGCGGUUGGAUCACCUCCUUACCUUAAAGAA
This 524-nucleotide ribosomal RNA is filed under the name Salmonella enterica. Its description in RNAcentral is "bacterial SSU rRNA". It matches the Rfam family "Bacterial small subunit ribosomal RNA", at positions 1019 to 1533 of the family's 1533-position model. The record is from RNAcentral. RNAcentral also lists the same sequence under 4 other names. Lineage: Bacteria; Pseudomonadati; Pseudomonadota; Gammaproteobacteria; Enterobacterales; Enterobacteriaceae.